GAUUUCUGGUUUAGUGCGCUUGGCCCGCCACGGUUUCGUGCGUGAGUGCCGAUGCGCGCUUACCAUCCUUCUGGAGAACGUUCCUGCCCUUUACUGGGUUGGGUUCGCAAUCCAGAACUUUUACUUUGAAAAAAUUAGAGUGUUUAAAGCAGGCUUUUGCUAUGAAUACAUUAGCAUGGAAUAAUGAUUUAGGACUUGAGUCUUAUUUUGUUGGUUUCCAGGACUGAAGUAAUGAUUGAUAGGGAUAGUUGGGGGUGCUAGUAUUCAGCGGCCAGAGGUGAAAUUCUUGGAUUCGCUGAAGACUAACUUAUGCGAAAGCAUU
RNAcentral lists this ribosomal RNA (322 nucleotides) under uncultured Rhogostoma. RNAcentral describes it as "SSU rRNA". The stretch from base 104 to 322 matches the Rfam family "Eukaryotic small subunit ribosomal RNA", at positions 735 to 955 of the family's 1831-position model. The record is from RNAcentral. Lineage: Eukaryota; Cercozoa; Thecofilosea; Cryomonadida.